RNAcentral lists this ribosomal RNA (245 nucleotides) under uncultured bacterium. Its description in RNAcentral is "partial 16S ribosomal RNA". It matches the Rfam family "Bacterial small subunit ribosomal RNA", at positions 524 to 767 of the family's 1533-position model. The record is from RNAcentral.
UACGUAGGCAGCGAGCGUUGUUCGGAGUUACUGGGCGUAAAGGGUGUGUAGGCGGCCUUUUAAGUUUGGUGUGAAAUCUCCCGGCUCAACUGGGAGGGAGCGCCGAAUACUGAAGGGCUUGGAGUGCGGGAGAGGAGAGUGGAAUUCCUGGUGUAGCGGUGAAAUGCGUAGAUAUCAGGAGGAACACCGGUGGUGUAGACGGCUCUCUGGACCGCGACUGACGCUGAGACACGAAAGCGUGGGUA